GUGGUGGAGCCGCUGACCCAAGGGGGUAGUAGGUAAGUGAUGGGGUGACGCAGGAAGGUAGUCCAGCCCGGGCGGUGGUUGUCCCGGGGUAAGGGUGUAGCCCGAGGAAUAGGCAAAUCCGUUCCUCGUUAAGGGUGAGACCUGAUGCCGAGCCGAUUGUGGUGAAGUGGAUGAUCCUAUGCUGUCGAGAAAAGCCUCUAGCGAGUUUUACGGCGGCCCGUACCCUAAACCGACUCAGGUGGUCAGGUAGAGAAUACCGAGGCGUUCGGGUGAACUAUGGUUAAGGAACUCGGCAAAAUGCCCCCGUAACUUCGGGAGAAGGGGGGCCAUGUCUGGUGAUCCGUCUUGCACGGUGAGCUGGGUGUGGCCGCAGAGACCAGCGAGAAGCGACUGUUUACUAAAAACACAGGUCCGUGCGAAGCCGUAAGGCGAUGUAUACGGACUGACGCCUGCCCGGUGCUGGAACGUUAAGGGGACCGGUUAGUCACACUUCGGUGUGGCGAAGCUGAGAACUUAAGCGCCAGUAAACGGCGGUGGUAACUAUAACCAUCCUAAGGUAGCGAAAUUCCUUGUCGGGUAAGUUCCGACCUGCACGAAUGGCGUAACGACUUCUC
This 614-nucleotide ribosomal RNA is filed under the name Actinacidiphila cocklensis. RNAcentral's name for it is "partial 23S ribosomal RNA". It matches the Rfam family "Bacterial large subunit ribosomal RNA", at positions 1436 to 2013 of the family's 2925-position model. Lineage: Bacteria; Bacillati; Actinomycetota; Actinomycetes; Kitasatosporales; Streptomycetaceae. The record is from RNAcentral.